This is an RNA transcript of Panicum hallii, 2687 nucleotides long. It is a transcript of the gene named protein ACTIVITY OF BC1 COMPLEX KINASE 3, chloroplastic, with no coding region annotated. The record is from RefSeq and is a predicted model, not a curated record. Lineage: Eukaryota; Viridiplantae; Streptophyta; Magnoliopsida; Poales; Poaceae. The transcript is spliced from 8 exons.
CGCUGUCGACGCCAACGCCCCACCCCCCUCCAAGCUUGCCCCCGGCCCCGCCACCACACCUCCUCCCGCUCGCCCCGCCGCAGCGGCCAUGGCGGCCACCGCCGCAGCCGCCGUCUCCUUCUCCCUCCCCUCCGCCCCGCGCGGCCUCGGGCCUCGCCGGCGCCGCCGCCGCGCGCCUUCCCUCCUCCGCGCCGCCUCCACCGCCGCGCCCCCGUCCCCGGACCUCUCCAUCCAGCUCUCGCCGCGCGCGUCCCCGCCCGCGCCGGCCAACGGCGCCUCGACCGCCGCCGGACCACCCGUGGCCGCCUCCUUCGCUCGCGACCGCGCCGAGGACCUGCAGGCCGAGGCCCGCGCCAUGGCCCGCGCCGCCGGGGCCACCGUCUACAGCCCCGAGCUGCUCGCCGCCCGCUACGGCUCCCGCCCCUUCAAGGUGGCGCUGAGGGCGGCGGAGGUGCUGUCCAAGCUGGGGGCCUUCGGGGUGAAGUUGCUGCUGGACGAGCGGAGCGGGGACUCGUCCUCGGCGAAGCGCCGAGCCAGGGCGGUGGAGCUGCGGACCAUCCUCACCAGGCUCGGCCCGACGUUCGUCAAGAUCGGGCAGGGGCUGUCCACGCGCCCCGACCUCUGCCCGGCAGAGUACCUCGAGGAGCUUGCCGAGUUGCAGGAUUCACUUCCCACAUUUCCAGAUGAAGAGGCAUUUGCGUGUAUCGAGAGAGAGCUUGGCUUCCCACUUGAUUCAAUCUACUCGACAAUAUCACCUUCCCCCAUCGCAGCUGCUAGUUUAGGUCAAGUUUACAAGGCACGGUUGAAAUACUCCGGGAAGCUGGUAGCUGUCAAGGUGCAAAGACCCGGUAUUGAGGAUGCCAUAGGGCUUGAUUUUUAUCUACUCAGGGGCCUUGGCUUUUUAAUAAAUAAAUAUGUUGACAUUGUAACCAGUGAUGUUGUUGCCCUCAUGGAUGAAUUUGCUCGAAGAGUUUUCCAAGAGCUCAACUAUGUCCAGGAAGGCCAAAAUGCAAGAAGGUUUAAGAAGUUAUAUGCUGAUAAGCAAGAUGUAUUGGUGCCUGAUAUAUUUUGGGAUUACACAAGUGCAAAGGUUCUGACUAUGGAGUGGAUUGAGGGUGUAAAAUUAAACCAGCAGGCCGCUAUUGAAAGUCAAGGAUUGAAGGUUCUGGAUUUGGUCAACAUUGGCAUCCAGUGUAGCUUGAGGCAACUUCUGGAAUAUGGUUACUUUCAUGCUGAUCCUCAUCCUGGUAAUAUAUUGGCAACACCCGAGGGGAAGCUUGCUUUUCUUGAUUUUGGCAUGAUGAGUGAAACACCAGAGGAUGCAAGGGUAGCCAUUAUAGGACAUGUUGUCCACUUGGUCAAUAGGGACUAUGAAGCUAUGGCUCGUGAUUAUUAUGCGCUAGAUUUCUUGGAACCUGAUGUCGAUGUUUCCCCAAUUGUGCCUGCUCUCAAGAAUUUCUUUGAUGAUGCUCUGAAUGCAACAGUGAGUGAGUUGAACUUCAAGACGAUAGUUGAUGGAUUAGGUGCUGUUCUCUAUCAGUACCCAUUCAAUGUGCCUGCAUACUAUGCAUUGAUACUGCGAUCACUCACUGUGCUGGAAGGUUUAGCACUCUAUGCUGACCCUGAUUUUAAGGUGCUUGCUGCCUCGUACCCUUACUUUGCUAAAAGGCUACUCACUGAUCCCAAUCCAUAUCUCAGAGAUGCUUUAAUUGAGCUUCUAUUCAAGGACGGAAGAUUCAGAUGGAAUAGGCUUGAAAAUCUUCUUGUUCAAGGGCGCCAAGAUAGAGAAUUCGCAGCCAAAGAUGCCCUACAACCUGUUCUAAAGCUUCUCCUUGGUCCCGAUGGGGAGGAAUUGCGUGUGCUGGUUGUGAAAGAGGCUGUUCGUGUAACAGAAGCCAUCACUAUUGGAACACUGAUUGAUUCGUACAACUCAGCUCCAGAAUUUUUGAAGCCACUAAUUUCCAGUGGCAAUCCGGCCGGACCCUUCAAGUUUAGUGAGGCUGAACAGGAACAAAUGAUGGAGCUCCGAGACCAAGUUUUCAGAGUAUGGGGUCUUUUGAGAUCCUCAAAUAACUUCGAUCCGAGCCUUUUGCAACCAAUUGUACAGGUGCUGCAAGAACCAGAGGCCCGUGUUCUGGGUUCCCGUGUUGCAGGAGGGGUUACACAGCGCCUUGCGGCCCGUCUGUUGCAGCAGCUUCUCAGGACCCCUCCUGCUCCUGGAUCUUCUUAGCAGAUACUAGAUAGGUUCGAAUGAAGCAUGUAAAUUCACACGAUGCUUUUCACAGGAAAUGAGAAGGAAGCAUAACUCGGAAAUCAAGUAUAUAGCGGGUUUCUUCAUUCUUGGUGGAUAAAGAUCCGUACAUUGGCACGACCAUAAAUUGAUAAUGCUAGCGGGGUAGCGCCAGAGGCGUCCUUUUGGCGCAUAUGGUCCAAUUGAACAUGUGUCGCCCACAGGUCUGUAUCGUUCCAGUUCCACAGGGUUUAUGCUUUUAAGAUCAGCCUGUAAAUAUGUAGUAUGCCUGUAUUUUUCCACAAGUGAAUAGGUUAGGAAACAUGCGUACUAUCAAUCUUUGUCGAAUGCUUCAGUUGGUUGCAGCCGUGCCAUCUGAUUAUUUGACAACAGACGGACUCGUGGUGUGCCACCAUCGAGGCGAUGCUGCCAACUUGCUGGUGGACAAUUCAAGUUA